Long non-coding RNA from Oryzias melastigma (Indian medaka), 222 nucleotides. RefSeq lists it as uncharacterized. The transcript is spliced from 6 exons. NCBI's taxonomy places the organism in Eukaryota, Metazoa, Chordata, Actinopteri, Beloniformes, Adrianichthyidae. The record is from RefSeq and is a predicted model, not a curated record.
GGAAGUCAAGGCUGAGAUUGCUGUCACCAAAGAAAACUGCGAAGCCUGAAAGGAAACCUGUCAAACAAGCUGAAGACAAAGAGAAGCAUCCACCACCAACGAUGAAUGGAAAGAGAACCCGCUUCCUAAGAGGACAAGUCUGAAGAUAACAUCACAGAAAGGAAGAAAUCAGGCCAGAAAUUCUUCCAGUGCAUCUACGUUCCGGGUAAAAGCGUCCAGUAU